This 889-nucleotide long non-coding RNA is filed under the name Elaeis guineensis (African oil palm). RNAcentral describes it as "long non-coding RNA (EGUI_LNC081616)". Lineage: Eukaryota; Viridiplantae; Streptophyta; Magnoliopsida; Arecales; Arecaceae. The record is from RNAcentral.
AGAGAGAGAGAGAGAGAGAGAGAGAGGGAGAGAGAGAGAGGCCUCAGAAACAUGAGGUAUGCCUACCUGGCAGCCAUAAAAUGCCCAGGUUUAUCAAGUUAUCAUGUCUUUAUCUUCGUAGUUUGCAUGUAAUUUGGUGUUUUCUUUGUUUCAAAUGUUCUUCAGAGCAUGAUUGUCCUAAGCAGCCACAACAGUAGAAGAAACCGACAUGGGUCUAAUCUCAUUGAUCUGGCUAGGUACGAAUUAUUUGAAUUUUGCCCAUCUCCGUGCCUAACGCGGUCAAUUAGGAGAACCUUGAGGGAGAAGGACAAGGCCACAAGCAGGCACAGAAGUUGGAACCAUAUCUAGCUCUGGCUCAGUGAAAGUUGUCACAUGCACGUAUCCCAAAAGCCUAGUAGUGAUGGUGAUGUUAGACUUGCAAAGGUGUAGGAUAUGAUAAAUAAUGAUUACCUCAUUGAUAUCAGCUUCCCUCUUUGCCAUCUAGAGAACGGAGCGGGGAACAGUGUUAGACUGAUAUGACUAGCCAAUGCAGAUGUGAUAUCUUUCCUUAUGUUUUAUUAUUCAGACGUUUUCUUGGAAUCUUCUACAUGUACCGUUGCUAUUGUGAUAGGGCAUCUUCAACUGUGCGGGAGCAUCUUGGCAAAAUUUUUUUUUUUUUCUUUUCUUUUCUCAUCUAAUAUAUAUACCUUUGUGGGAAGUGACAAGUGCAUGCAAAUCAUGACCAAAGAUUAAAAAAUUAGAAGUUAAAAUGUUAUAUAAAAAAGUAAAUAUUGAUGUAUUUCUGCUGGUUACAUACAAAAUCAAGAUAAUAGCAAACAAAAGAAAUAAAACUGCCCAUGACAAACGUACAUACAACUGUCAAUCGGUACAACAUUAAUCAUCAAACUCC